Molecule: long non-coding RNA, 665 nt
Filed under: Numida meleagris (helmeted guineafowl)
Lineage: Eukaryota; Metazoa; Chordata; Aves; Galliformes; Numididae
Description: lncRNA (ENSNMEG00000011756.1)
Source: RNAcentral
GCUGUGGGAAAAGCUGAGCACCGUCUCCUGGAAGCAGCAAACACAAAUCCAUGGUGGCAACAGAUGCUGGACCUGCUGCCCUACCUGGGAGUGCCACGGAGGAGUCUGCUGUCUGCCUGGCCUCUCCUCUUCCCUCCUGUGGGUCUGGGAUGAACUCAGCCCAUGCAUGGCUGUGGCUGUAAUUUAUUUUGCUUCUCUGCCUCGGACACUUCUCCCGUGGAGAUUUCUUUUCCAUGCAAAGGGGUUCUCACUUGCAGCAGAUAUGGCAGAGUGCAUCCCUCAGCCUCCCUCCACCUGGUCCAUGGGCCAGCAGCCCCCCAACACCUCUACUGCCUGCCCACUGGAGCCUGUGAACCUGGGUGUCUUGGAGCAGCAAAUGCCACUGGAGCAGCCCCCAUCCUCCCCGGAGCUGGGUGAGGAUGAGGAUGUCACCUCCCCGCCAGAUCCUGAUGUCCCCUACCCUGACUUGGCCCCGGUCGUCUUCUUUUGCUUGAAGCAGACCACCAGCCCACGGAGCUGGUGCAUCAAAAUGGUGUGCAACCCAUAUCCUUUCUGAGCUGCCUCUUCUCCAUCCUCACCUCCUGCCCCGUCCCUCCUCUCUCCCUGUCCCCUCAGGGCGCCUGCCAGGUAAGCAAUGAACUUUCCUAUGUAUUUAAUGAACCGCU